UUAUUUAUUAAAGGUUUAACCUGCCCAGUGAUUUAUUAAAUGGCCGCAGUAUUUUGACUGUGCGAAGGUAGCAUAAUCAUUAGUUUUUUAAUUGAAAGCUUGUAUGAAUGGUUGGACGAGAUAAAUACUGUCUCUUUUUAAUUUUUAUAAUUUAAUUUUUUAGUAAAAAAGCUAAAAUUAUAUUAAAAGACGAGAAGACCCUUUAAAGCUUUAUAUAUUUAAUUAUUAAUAUUAUUAAGAUUUUUUUUAUUUUUAAUAUUUAAAUUUAUUUAAUUGGGGAAAUUAAAAGAUUAAUAUAAUUCUUUUUUAUUUUUACAAUGAUAUUUGUUUAUUUGAUCCAUUUUUAUUGAUUAUAAGAUUAAGUUACUUAAGGGAUAACAGCGUAAUUCUUUUGGGGAGUUCAUAUCUAUAGAAGAGUUUGCGACCUCGAUGUUGGAUUAAAAUUUAAUUUGGGUGUAGAAGUUCAAUAUUUUUUGGUCUGUUCGACCAUUAAAAUUUUAC
RNAcentral lists this ribosomal RNA (501 nucleotides) under Suphisellus nigrinus. RNAcentral describes it as "partial 16S ribosomal RNA". The stretch from base 374 to 501 matches the Rfam family "Bacterial large subunit ribosomal RNA", at positions 2473 to 2599 of the family's 2925-position model. The record is from RNAcentral. Lineage: Eukaryota; Metazoa; Arthropoda; Insecta; Coleoptera; Noteridae.